UUUUUUUUUCUUAAUUGUCCUUGCUAAUAUUUUAGUUGUUUACUUUGUGAUCUUUUGAGUAUGAAUAUUGGAACUUAGGGAUGUUUGCAACUUCCAGGCUUUUGUUAACACAUUUUGAUGAAAGGAAUAAUUAAAUAAAUCACUGCUCGAUUUUGUGAAUUUUAAGUUCCUGCAUGGAUUAAUAUUUGCUUGAUGAAUUAGAAGCACAUUAUACCAAAUGAUGCAUUAUGAGAUUUUGAAAGCUGCUGUCAGGUUUGUUUUAUGGGUGCAAGGUCGUGUUCUAUUUUAAAGAAUGGACAAAGUCUAAGGCUUUAAGCUUUAAAACCCUGCUCUACAUACUAGGAGCAGGCACAUCAGAUUCAUCAUGCAUUACUAGUCAUUUACAAGUAUGGAAAUAUGGCAUUGAUGCUCAAUUUUUGUGGUGCCAACUGUGGGGAUGAAACUCAGAUCUCAAAUCUUGUUGGCAUUCAAAAGUUUUAUAUGACUAAUAUACAGCUGGAUGGCACUGAUGCAACACAAGCAAACACUAUAUACAUAUACUACAAUAGGCCAUACAAUAUCAUCAUGGAGUAGCAUGCCUUGAUAUUUCCCAAAGAUCAAAAUGUGUGACUAAUACGUGAAGUUUAAUUUCCAUAAUGCACUUUGGGAUCCUAGUUAUAUUGCUGAAAUAUGUGAUGAUUUAUGCUAGCCAGA
Molecule: unclassified non-coding RNA, 693 nt
Filed under: Hevea brasiliensis (rubber tree)
Lineage: Eukaryota; Viridiplantae; Streptophyta; Magnoliopsida; Malpighiales; Euphorbiaceae
Source: RNAcentral